RNAcentral lists this ribosomal RNA (255 nucleotides) under uncultured bacterium. Its description in RNAcentral is "partial 16S ribosomal RNA". It matches the Rfam family "Bacterial small subunit ribosomal RNA", at positions 524 to 776 of the family's 1533-position model. The record is from RNAcentral.
UACGUAGGCAGCAAGCGUUGUUCGGAGUUACUGGGCGUAAAGGGUGCGUAGGCGGUUGUUUAAGUUUGGUGUGAAAUCUCCCGGCUCAACUGGGAGGGUGCGCCGAAUACUGAAUGACUAGAGUGCGGGAGAGGAGAGUGGAAUUCCUGGUGUAGCGGUGAAAUGCGUAGAUAGUCAAGGAGGAACACCGGUGGUGUAGACGGCUCUCUGGACCGUAACUGACGCUGAGGCACGAAAGCGUGGGUAGCAAACAGG